UACCGUACAAGCGGUCCGUCC
RNAcentral lists this microRNA (21 nucleotides) under Chlamydomonas reinhardtii. RNAcentral's name for it is "cre-miR1165-5p". Lineage: Eukaryota; Viridiplantae; Chlorophyta; Chlorophyceae; Chlamydomonadales; Chlamydomonadaceae. The record is from miRBase by way of RNAcentral.